CACCCAUAUAUUCCUUCAAAAAAAAAAAACACAACACCCAUAUAUAAGACUCGCAUCAACUUCCUCUCUUUUCUGUAACUAACUUCUUUUUUUUUGGUAGAUAGACGAAAUGUUAUAAACUCACACACAUAAGUGGAGGUAUCGGGGUUCGAACCCCGGUCAUGACAUCCGACUUAACAAUUUCGGCAUUUUGCCAGUUGAACUAGGACUUCUGGAUUGUAACUAACUUCUAAUACCAAACUACCGCCAUAAUCAUUGAAACCUCCAUCUGAACCACCAAAACCACAACCCAAGAAGUGUGCAAAGAAGAACAAAUUCAACCUCUUUGUUGGGAAAUCAACUGGGACAGAGAAAGAAAUAGAAAGGGGUCGUGAGAGAUAGGAGGAUAUAACUGAUCUGUUUUUGUCGGUGCCGUCUCUUUCGCCGCCAGUGUCAUCUUUAUAAGAGCGCCACCCCUUGCUACUAACCUGCAGAACCAUGUGAAUGUAUUGCAACCAUAUAAUUUUGAAAACGGAUGGCGUGCCACGUAGACAUUGACCGGUCAAAAUUUGCCAAAAGGACCAAAGAUGCAAAGGGACUAAAUCUUAGGUGGUCAAAAUUGCAACUUUUUGCAACUUAAGGGUGGAAAAGUGUACUUUAGCCUAGAAUAUUUUGGUACCGUUUGUUAAUGGAUUUUCUGAUUUCCCAAUUGAUUGUAUGUUGUUUCUUUGUUCUGAAACCUGUUUAUAUUUGAGUUGAAGUACCUCUUGUACUCUCAUUUUGUGUGU
This 767-nucleotide long non-coding RNA is filed under the name Medicago truncatula (barrel medic). RNAcentral's name for it is "lncRNA gene41930". Lineage: Eukaryota; Viridiplantae; Streptophyta; Magnoliopsida; Fabales; Fabaceae. The record is from RNAcentral.